CGGUCAUCUCCGGCACCUGUUCGGCCACUUUUUCAACUUUUGAUAAUCCGUUCAUCUUCGGCACCCGUUCGGCCGCUUCUUUUGAUAGUACUUCGGUCAUCUCCGACACCCGUUCGGCCACUUCUUCAACUUUUGAUAAUCCGUUCAUCUCCGGCACCCGUUCGGCCACUUCUUUUGAUAGUACUUCGGUCAUCUCCGGCACUCGUUCAACAACUUCAACUUAUGAUAAUCCGUUCAUCUCCGGCAUCCGUUCGGCUACUUCUUCAACUCUUGUUACUCCGUUCAUCUUUGGCAGCCAUUCUUCACCUUCUGAUACUCCGUUCAUCUUUGGCAGCCAUUCUUCACCUUCUGAUACUCCGUUCAUCUUCAGCAGCCCCACUUCUUCUGUUAGUACUCCGGUCAUCUCCGGCACCCGUUCGGCCACUUCUUCUGUUAGUACUCCGGUCAUCUCCGGCACCCGUUCGGCCACUUCUUCUGAUAGUACUCCG
Molecule: long non-coding RNA, 488 nt
Filed under: Zostera marina
Lineage: Eukaryota; Viridiplantae; Streptophyta; Magnoliopsida; Alismatales; Zosteraceae
Description: long non-coding RNA (ZMAR_LNC000837)
Source: RNAcentral